GAAUAUUGCGCAAUGGGGGAAACCCUGACGCAGCCAUGCCGCGUGUGUGAGGAAGGCCUUAGGGUUGUAAAGCUCUGUCCUAUAAGAAUAAUGGCAUUAGGGUUAAUACCCCUAGUGUUUGAAGGUACUAUAGAAGCAAGCACCGGCUAACCUCGUUCCAGCAGCCGCGGUAAUACGACGGGUGCAAGCGUUGUUCGGAUUUACUGGGCGUAAAGCGCGCGCAGGUGGAUCUGUAAGUCAGAUGUGAAAUCUCGGGGCUUAACCCCGAAACUGCGUCUGAAACUAUAGAUCUAGAGUCUCGGAGAGGGAUGGGGAAUUUCCUGUGUAGGGGUAAAAUCCGUAGAGAUAGGAAGGAACAUCAGGGGCGAAGGCGCCAUCCUGGACGAGUACUGACACUGAGGCGCGAAAGCGUGGGGAGCAAACAGG
This 426-nucleotide ribosomal RNA is filed under the name uncultured bacterium. Its description in RNAcentral is "bacterial SSU rRNA". It matches the Rfam family "Bacterial small subunit ribosomal RNA", at positions 359 to 776 of the family's 1533-position model. The record is from RNAcentral.